This 574-nucleotide long non-coding RNA is filed under the name Nicotiana tabacum (common tobacco). RNAcentral describes it as "long non-coding RNA (NTAB_LNC015908)". Lineage: Eukaryota; Viridiplantae; Streptophyta; Magnoliopsida; Solanales; Solanaceae. The record is from RNAcentral.
CUGGUGAGGAUCCAGGUGAUGUUCCAGUACUGAUGAGUGGAGCAGGUCAUGAUGCAAUGGCCAUGUCUCAUCUAACCAAGGUGAGCUAUACUCAAAACCUUGUAUUUUUCGACUUGGACGUGAUUUUCUUUCUUUCUUUUGAUAAUGGUGGUGUAAGGGCCACUUGCGAGACUCGAAUAUUUCACCAAGCACUUGCUACCUCUUAGAGUACAGGUACUAGGUAGCUCUAUCCACUUAGGCAAAUAGGAAUGCCUAUGUCUCCCAUGGUUUUACCCACUUCAUUGACACUAUGAACGUGAUUUUCUUUCUUGUUUGUAUUAAAGAUUCACUAUUUUUCGAUAGGUGGGAAUGCUAUUUGUGCGUUGUCGUGGAGGCAUCAGCCAUUCUCCUGCGGAGCAUGUAUUAGAUGAUGAUAUUUGGGCAGCUGGAAUGGCAGUACUUACAUUUUUGGAGACCCUCUUGUAAUUACCGGCAUUCUGCAAUGCAAUCUAGUUUUCCAUUCGUAAUCAUAUUAUGUAUAUACAUCGAUUCAAACUUCUGUAGUUGCAAUAAUGAAAAUGUAUAUUUGCAAAUA